This 487-nucleotide ribosomal RNA is filed under the name uncultured bacterium. RNAcentral describes it as "bacterial SSU rRNA". It matches the Rfam family "Bacterial small subunit ribosomal RNA", at positions 28 to 507 of the family's 1533-position model. The record is from RNAcentral.
GAUGAACGCUAGCUACAGGCUUAACACAUGCAAGUCGAGGGGCAGCGCAGUGUAGCAAUACAUGGGCGGCGACCGGCGCACGGGUGCGUAACGCGUAUCCAACCUUCCCGUUACUCAGGGAUAGCCUUCCGAAAGGGAGAUUAAUACCUGAUGGUGUUCAAAUUCCGCAUGUUAUUUGAACUAAAGAUUUAUCGGUAACGGAUGGGGAUGCGUGACAUUAGAUAGUAGGCGGGGUAACGGCCCACCUAGUCUACGAUGUCUAGGGGUUCUGAGAGGAAGGUCCCCCACACUGGAACUGAGACACGGUCCAGACUCCUACGGGAGGCAGCAGUGAGGAAUAUUGGUCAAUGGUCUGACGACUGAACCAGCCAUGCCGCGUGAAGGUGACGGCCCUAUGGGGUCUUAAAACUUCUUUUGUAAGGGAGCAAUAAGGUGUACGUGUACAUCGAUGAGAGUACCUUACGAAUAAGCAUCGGCUAACUCCGUG